RNAcentral lists this ribosomal RNA (396 nucleotides) under uncultured bacterium. RNAcentral's name for it is "bacterial SSU rRNA". It matches the Rfam family "Bacterial small subunit ribosomal RNA", at positions 93 to 524 of the family's 1533-position model. The record is from RNAcentral.
UAGUGGCGCACGGGUGCGUAACGCGUGGGAAUCUGCCCUUGGGUUCGGAAUAACUUCUGGAAACGGAAGCUAAUACCGGAUGAUGACGUAAGUCCAAAGAUUUAUCGCCCAAGGAUGAGCCCGCGUAGGAUUAGCUAGUUGGUGAGGUAAAGGCUCACCAAGGCGACGAUCCUUAGCUGGUCUGAGAGGAUGAUCAGCCACACUGGGACUGAGACACGGCCCAGACUCCUACGGGAGGCAGCAGUAGGGAAUAUUGGACAAUGGGCGAAAGCCUGAUCCAGCAAUGCCGCGUGAGUGAUGAAGGCCUUAGGGUUGUAAAGCUCUUUUACCCGGGAUGAUAAUGACAGUACCGGGAGAAUAAGCCCCGGCUAACUCCGUGCCAGCAGCCGCGGUAAU